GCACAAGCGGUGGAGUAUGUGGUUUAAUUCGAUGCAACGCGAAGAACCUUACCUGGUCUUGACAUCCCGGAGACCCUUAGGAAACUAGGGGGUGCUUCCAUCUGGAAGAAUCUGGAGACAGGUGCUGCAUGGCUGUCGUCAGCUCGUGUCGUGAGAUGUUGGGUUAAGUCCCGCAACGAGCGCAACCCUUGCCUUAGUUGCCAGCAGUUCGGCUGGGCACUCUAAAGGGACUGCCGGUGUUAAACCGGAGGAAGGUGGGGAUGACGUCAAGUCCUCAUGGCCUUUAUGACCAGGGCUACACACGUACUACAAUGGCCGAUACAAAGGGCAGCGACACUGCGAGGUGAAGCCAAUCCCGUAAAAUCGGUCUCAGUCCGGAUUGGAGUCUGCAACUCGACUCCAUGAAGUUGGAAUCGCUAGUAAUCGUGGAUCAGCAUGCCACGGUGAAUACGUUCCCGGGCCUA
RNAcentral lists this ribosomal RNA (464 nucleotides) under uncultured Desulfobulbus sp. RNAcentral describes it as "bacterial SSU rRNA". It matches the Rfam family "Bacterial small subunit ribosomal RNA", at positions 923 to 1381 of the family's 1533-position model. The record is from RNAcentral. Lineage: Bacteria; Pseudomonadati; Thermodesulfobacteriota; Desulfobulbia; Desulfobulbales; Desulfobulbaceae.